This 440-nucleotide ribosomal RNA is filed under the name uncultured bacterium. Its description in RNAcentral is "partial 16S ribosomal RNA". It matches the Rfam family "Bacterial small subunit ribosomal RNA", at positions 338 to 795 of the family's 1533-position model. The record is from RNAcentral.
CCUACGGGAGGCUGCAGUGGGGAAUAUUGCACAAUGGGGGGAACCCUGAUGCAGCGACGCCGCGUGAGUGAAGAAGUAUUUCGGUAUGUAAAGCUCUAUCAGCAGGGAAGAAAAUGACGGUACCUGUCUAAUAAGCCCCGGCUAACUACGUGCCAGCAGCCGCGGUAAUACGUAGGGGGCAAGCGUUAUCCGGAUUUACUGGGGGUAAAGGGAGCGUAGACGGCAGAGCAAGGCUGAAGUGAAAGCCGGGGGCCGAACUGCGGGACGGCUUUGGAAACUGCCCAGCUAGAGUGAUGGAGAGGUAAGCGGACUUCCGAGUGUAGCUGUGAAAUGCGUAGAUAUUAGGCGGAACACCCGUUGCGAAGGCGGCUUACUGGACAGUAACUGACGUUGAGGCUCGAAAGCGUGGGGAGCAAACAGGAUUAGAUACCCCAGUAGUC